GGGCCCGCACAAGCAGCGGAGCAUGUGGUUUAAUUCGAAGCAACGCGAAGAACCUUACCAGAGCUUGACAUCGUCUGAAUUACCCGUAAUGGGGGAAGUCCUUCGGGACAGACAGACAGGUGGUGCAUGGUUGUCGUCAGCUCGUGUCGUGAGAUGUUGGGUUAAGUCCCGCAACGAGCGCAACCCCUAUUGCUAGUUGCCAUCAUUAAGUUGGGCACUCUAGUGAGACUGCCGGAGACAAUUCGGAGGAAGGUGGGGAUGACGUCAAAUCAUCAUGCCCCUUAUGUUCUGGGCUACACACGUGCUACAAUGGGUGUAACAACGGGAAGCGAGUCGGCAACGGCAAGCCAACCUCUAAAAAGCACCCUCAGUUCGGAUUGCAGGCUGAAACCCGCCUGCAUGAAGUUGGAGUUGCUAGUAAUCGCGAAUCAGCAUGUCGCGGUGAAUACGUUCCCGGGCCUU
This 462-nucleotide ribosomal RNA is filed under the name uncultured bacterium. RNAcentral describes it as "bacterial SSU rRNA". It matches the Rfam family "Bacterial small subunit ribosomal RNA", at positions 917 to 1382 of the family's 1533-position model. The record is from RNAcentral.